RNAcentral lists this ribosomal RNA (720 nucleotides) under uncultured Lachnospiraceae bacterium. RNAcentral describes it as "bacterial SSU rRNA". It matches the Rfam family "Bacterial small subunit ribosomal RNA", at positions 28 to 747 of the family's 1533-position model. The record is from RNAcentral. Lineage: Bacteria; Bacillati; Bacillota; Clostridia; Lachnospirales; Lachnospiraceae.
GAUGAACGCUGGCGGCGUGCUUAACACAUGCAAGUCGAACGAAGCACUUACCUGAUUUCCUUCGGGGAUGAUUGUUCUGUGACUGAGUGGCGGACGGGUGAGUAACGCGUGGAUAACCUGCCUCACACAGGGGGAUAACAGUUGGAAACGACUGCUAAUACCGCAUAAGCGCACAGCACCGCAUGGUGCAGUGUGAAAAACUCCGGUGGUGUGAGAUGGAUCCGCGUCUGAUUAGCUUGUUGGCGGGGUAACGGCCCACCAAGGCGACGAUCAGUAGCCGGCCUGAGAGGGCGACCGGCCACAUUGGGACUGAGACACGGCCCAGACUCCUACGGGAGGCAGCAGUGGGGAAUAUUGCACAAUGGGGGAAACCCUGAUGCAGCGACGCCGCGUGAGCGAUGAAGUAUUUCGGUAUGUAAAGCUCUAUCAGCAGGGAAGAUAAUGACGGUACCUGACUAAGAAGCUCCGGCUAAAUACGUGCCAGCAGCCGCGGUAAUACGUAUGGAGCAAGCGUUAUCCGGAUUUACUGGGUGUAAAGGGAGCGUAGGCGGUCCUGCAAGUCUGAUGUGAAAGGCCGGGGCUCAACCCCGGGACUGCAUUGGAAACUGUAGGACUAGAGUGUCGGAGGGGUAAGUGGAAUUCCUAGUGUAGCGGUGAAAUGCGUAGAUAUUAGGAGGAACACCAGUGGCGAAGGCGGCUCACUGGACUGUAACUGACACU